UGGGGAAUUUUGGACAAUGGGCGAAAGCCUGAUCCAGCAAUGCCGCGUGUGUGAAGAAGGCCUUCGGGUUGUAAAGCACUUUUGUCCGGAAAGAAAUCCUUGGCUCUAAUACAGUCGGGGGAUGACGGUACCGGAAGAAUAAGCACCGGCUAACUACGUGCCAGCAGCCGCGGUAAUACGUAGGGUGCAGGCGUUAAUCGGAAUUACUGGGCGUAAAGCGUGCGCAGGCGGUUUGCUAAGACCGAUGUGAAAUCCCCGGGCUCAACCUGGGAACUGCAUUGGUGACUGGCAGGCUAGAGUAUGGCAGAGGGGGGUAGAAUUCCACGUGUAGCAGUGAAAUGCGUAGAGAUGUGGAGGAAUACCGAUGGCGAAGGCAGCCCCCUGGGCCAAUACUGACGCUCAUGCACGAAAGCGUGGGGAGCAAACAGGAUUAGAUACCCUGGUAGUCCACGCCCUAAACGAUGUCAACUAGUUGUUGGGGAUUCAUUUCCUUAGUAACGUAGCUAACGCGUGAAGUUGACCGCCUGGGGAGUACGGUCGCAAGAUUAAAACUUAAAUGAAUUGACGGGGU
This 571-nucleotide ribosomal RNA is filed under the name uncultured bacterium. RNAcentral describes it as "partial 16S ribosomal RNA". It matches the Rfam family "Bacterial small subunit ribosomal RNA", at positions 355 to 919 of the family's 1533-position model. The record is from RNAcentral.